GAUGAACGCUGGCGGCGUGCCUAAUACAUGCAAGUCGAACGAACUGCUUUUUCCUUGGUUCUAUGACGUUAACGGCGGACGGGUGAGUAACACGAGGGCACCCUGCCUGUAAGACUGGGAUAACUUCGAGAAAUAAUACCUAAUACCGGAUAGGAUCUUCUCCUUCAUGGGAAAUGAUUGAAAAAUGGUUUCGGCUAUCACUUACAGAUGGGCCCGCGGUGCAUUAUAUUGUUGGUGAGGUAACGGCUCACCAAGGCAACGAUGCAUAGCCGACCUGAAAGGGGGAUCUGACACACUGGCACUGAUACACCGGCAAGACUCCUACGGGAGGAUUGAGUAGGGAAUCUUCCCCAGUGUACGAAAGUCUGACGGAACAACGCCGCGUGAGUGAUGAAGGCUUUCUUUUCUGAAAAAUCAGUUGUUAGGGAAGAACAGAUACAAUUCUAGCUGCUCGUACCUUGACGGUACCUAACCAAAAAGCCGCAGCUAACUACUUGCCAUCAGCCGCGGUAAUACCUAAGGGGCGUGCGUUAUCCGGAAUUAUUGGACGUCUCCCGCGUGCAGGGGGUUUCUUAAUUCUGAUGUGAAAGCCCACGGCACAGCCGAGGAGGGUCAUUGUAAACUGGUGAACUUGAAUGGAGAAGAGAAAAGCGGAAUUCCCCGUGUAGCGAUCAAAUGUCUGGAUAUGUGCAGAAACACC
This 700-nucleotide ribosomal RNA is filed under the name uncultured Bacillota bacterium. Its description in RNAcentral is "bacterial SSU rRNA". It matches the Rfam family "Bacterial small subunit ribosomal RNA", at positions 28 to 710 of the family's 1533-position model. Lineage: Bacteria; Bacillati; Bacillota. The record is from RNAcentral.